This is a long non-coding RNA of Nerophis ophidion (straightnose pipefish), 520 nucleotides long. RefSeq lists it as uncharacterized. The transcript is spliced from 2 exons. The record is from RefSeq and is a predicted model, not a curated record. Lineage: Eukaryota; Metazoa; Chordata; Actinopteri; Syngnathiformes; Syngnathidae.
UGUGUCACGGGGCGGACCCGAACCCGUGUUGCUCCUGCAACUGGGUGUCAAGAUUUCUCCUCUGCCUGCUUUCCCUGAGCGCAGCACGCCCACGCAGCGACAAGGCUGCAGACAAUCAUGCAUCAGCGCACCUGGACAUGACGAGAGGGAGCGGCAUAAAAUACCAGCGAAACCAGGAGACCUUUGCCAGAACUUAGCCAAUCUCCCCUGAAGUCUUCCGUAAUCGUGUCUUGCCUCACGACUUCCUCCCGGAUCUUUGCUUGCCUUCCCCGAUCCUCGACCACUGCUUGGACCCGGACAUUGUUGCCUCCUUCCAGCCCCCGACUGCUUGCCUCCCUGCUGACUGCCUCUUCGCCUUUCCCCUUGGAUUUGACGUCGAAUACAUCCAACACGCACCGACAACACUCUCUGGUAAAUUCCACAUUGUUAAUUCCACACAUCGUCCGCAUUCAGUCACUAGUGGUAUUAUACACACCCCACACAUUCAUCAAAGGUUUUAUAAUAAACCCUGUGAACCGCA